UACGUAGGGUGCGAGCGUUAAUCGGAAUUACUGGGCGUAAAGCGUGCGCAGGCGGCUAUGUAAGACAGAUGUGAAAUCCCCGGGCUCAACCUGGGAACUGCAUUUGUGACUGCAUGGCUAGAGUGCGUCAGAGGGAGGUGGAAUUCCGCGUGUAGCAGUGAAAUGCGUAGAGAUGCGGAGGAACACCGAUGGCGAAGGCAGCCUCCUGGGAUGACACUGACGCUCAUGCACGAAAGCGUGGGGAGCAAACAGG
Molecule: ribosomal RNA, 253 nt
Filed under: uncultured bacterium
Lineage: Bacteria
Description: partial 16S ribosomal RNA
Rfam family: Bacterial small subunit ribosomal RNA
Source: RNAcentral